GUCUUUAGGCUAUCCAUGCUGUGGUAGACAAUUCAUUGUCUGCAAUUGCAUGUGGUUUCUGUUUGAGAUGUACAUGCUUAUGGGCUUCUAGUUGGCUCAUUUCAUACCCUAUUAGCAAUGCCAAUGUGACUUCUGACUUGCUCAUGUGUGCCAUCCAUGUCCUUAAGUGCUUGAAGAAGUCUGCCCAUGGGUUCAUGCAAUACAUCAGAUGUGAACAGUUCUGUAAUGUGCUUUUAUGUUUUCCUUUUAAGUGUGUGUGUGUGCCCGCGCGCGCGUGCUGUAGAUUGUGUGAUGCUUAAGAAAUAUUGUGAAUAUAGACAAUCUAGCGGGUAAUACUGGUAUUACUAAGAAAUUCCUUAGUUUUACCAUGUUGGUUUUAAUUUGUUCAAAUGAGAAUGUUAGGGGUUUGCAGUUGUUUUAUUGAUGCGUAUGACUGGUUGAAAUCCCUGUUAAUGGACAGU
This 461-nucleotide unclassified non-coding RNA is filed under the name Hevea brasiliensis (rubber tree). Lineage: Eukaryota; Viridiplantae; Streptophyta; Magnoliopsida; Malpighiales; Euphorbiaceae. The record is from RNAcentral.